Molecule: ribosomal RNA, 527 nt
Filed under: uncultured bacterium
Lineage: Bacteria
Description: bacterial SSU rRNA
Rfam family: Bacterial small subunit ribosomal RNA
Source: RNAcentral
GACGAACGCUGGCGGCGUGCCUAAUACAUGCAAGUCGAACGCAACUUUCCUACCGAGUGCUUGCACUCACCGGGAAAGUUGAGUGGCGAACGGGUGAGUAACACGUGGGUGACCUGCCCAUCAGCGGGGGACAACACUUGGAAACAGGUGCUAAUACCGCAUAAAACUUCCGGCUGCAUGGCCGGAAGGUGAAAGGCGCUUUACAGCACCACUGAUGGAUGGACCCGCGGUGCAUUAGCUAGUUGGUGAGGUAACGGCCCACCAAGGCGACGAUGCAUAGCCGACCUGAGAGGGUGAUCGGCCACAUUGGGACUGAGACACGGCCCAAACUCCUACGGGAGGCAGCAGUAGGGAAUCUUCGGCAAUGGACGGAAGUCUGACCGAGCAACGCCGCGUGAGUGAAGAAGGUUCUCGGAUCGUAAAACUCUGUUGUCAGAGAAGAACGGGAGGAAGAGGAAAUGCUUCCUCCGUGACGGUAUCUGACCAGAAAGCCACGGCUAACUACGUGCCAGCCGCCGCCGUAAAAC